Molecule: ribosomal RNA, 512 nt
Filed under: Schizomyia buboniae
Lineage: Eukaryota; Metazoa; Arthropoda; Insecta; Diptera; Cecidomyiidae
Description: partial large subunit ribosomal RNA
Rfam family: Bacterial large subunit ribosomal RNA (bases 343-501)
Source: RNAcentral
UUGAUCUGCCCAUUGAAAAAUUUUUAAAAGGCCGCAGUAUUUUGACUGUGCAAAGGUAGCAUAAUCAUUAGUUUUAUAAUUUAGAUCUAGAAUGAAUGAUUAAAUGAAAAAUAAACUUUUUUAGUUAUAAAAAUUUAAUUUUAUAAUUAAGUUAAAAAGCUUAAUUUAAUUUAUUAGACGAGAAGACCCUAUAGAAUUUAAUUAUUGUAAAUUUAAUAUUUAUUUUAAUUUUAAUUAAUUUAAUUGGGGAGAUUUUAAAAUUUUUUAAACUUUUUAUAAUUUUUCAAUUUUAAUUGUUUAUUUGAUCUUUUAUUAAAGAUUUUAAGAUUAAAUUACCUUAGGGAUAACAGCAUAAUUUUUUUAAAAAGUUCUUAUUUUUAUAAAAGUUUAUGACCUCGAUGUUGGAUUAAAUAAUUUUUAAUUGAAGAUAAUUAAAUAGAAUAGUCUGUUCGACUAUUAAAAUUUUACAUGAUCUGAGUUCAAACCGGUGUAAGCCAGGUCGGUUUCUAUCU